This is a long non-coding RNA of Mauremys mutica (yellowpond turtle), 329 nucleotides long. RefSeq lists it as uncharacterized. The record is from RefSeq and is a predicted model, not a curated record. Lineage: Eukaryota; Metazoa; Chordata; Testudines; Geoemydidae. The transcript is spliced from 3 exons.
AGCCCUGCAGAGCCAACACAGCUAUGGGAAUGUGACCAGGAUGUCUGUUUCACUGCAUUGGGGUGGUGACGCCACACAUUCCAAGCAACUUGCUCCAGAAGUAACUCUAGGUCGGAUGAAUGGCCAAUGUCUCCUGCAAGAUCUGAACACAAUGGUCAAAGUGGAGCAUUCCAGUCACAGAGGCACAGAUGAAACAGGCUACUCCUUUACUGUACAGACAAUGCAUCAGUGUACCGAUGUGGAGCAGGGACAAUGACAUGGAGAGAGCCCGUCCCCUCCAUUCUCUGAACACACUGAGAGGCUUCCACAAGGUCAGGAGGUAAAGGAGG